RNAcentral lists this transfer RNA (92 nucleotides) under Hypoxylon rubiginosum. RNAcentral describes it as "tRNA-Tyr". It matches the Rfam family "tRNA". Rfam says of the family: Transfer RNA (tRNA) molecules are approximately 80 nucleotides in length. Their secondary structure includes four short double-helical elements and three loops (D, anti-codon, and T loops). The record is from RNAcentral. Lineage: Eukaryota; Fungi; Ascomycota; Sordariomycetes; Xylariales; Hypoxylaceae.
UUCGAUAUAGUGUAAUGGCAACACGUCUUGUGUAACGGUCAACAUGCGCCGCUUUCAUUGAGAAGAUCGGGGUUCGAUUCCCUGUGUCGGAA